RNAcentral lists this transfer RNA (72 nucleotides) under Fukomys damarensis (Damara mole-rat). It matches the Rfam family "tRNA". From Rfam's summary of the family: Transfer RNA (tRNA) molecules are approximately 80 nucleotides in length. Their secondary structure includes four short double-helical elements and three loops (D, anti-codon, and T loops). The record is from Rfam by way of RNAcentral. Lineage: Eukaryota; Metazoa; Chordata; Mammalia; Rodentia; Bathyergidae.
UGGGGUGUAAUUCAGUGGUAGAAUGUUUGCUUAGCAUGCAUGAGGCCCUGAGUUCAAUCUCUGACACCACAA